Long non-coding RNA from Oryzias latipes (Japanese medaka), 1090 nucleotides. RefSeq lists it as uncharacterized. NCBI's taxonomy places the organism in Eukaryota, Metazoa, Chordata, Actinopteri, Beloniformes, Adrianichthyidae. The record is from RefSeq and is a predicted model, not a curated record.
UCUUCAGCGAGACGAUGUGAUCGACCUCCACGGGUCCAGCGGGACUCAUGGGCAGCGAAGUGCUGAUCGAGAGCUGCUGAUGUUCCAAGAUGUCAAGGACAGAAUAAACCCUCCCAGAUCCCAUCCAGCUCUGAGACAGAACAAACAGGUGUGGCUGGAAGAGAUUGUUGUCAGUGGAGAUAAGAGGAUGAGUCACUUCUCUGUUCCAUGUGUUGUGUGUUUAUAUGUCAGCGCGGCGUGAACUUUCAGAUGUCCACCUUCAACAGGGACAGUCUCCGUCUCUGGAUGCAGUCCAGAGACGACCACGGUUUCUCCUAAAGAACCGCUACAACCACCUCAUGCCCUGAACGUCGACUUGUUGCCAACAAAAUUCUUAAACCCUUCGAGAUCUGAUACCAACCUCAUGAAACAUCUCAUGUAAUCUCACCCCGAUGUUAAACCUAAGAUAGCAAAACUUUACCUCAAGUGUUGACUGUCUUUUCACUACCGUAACUCUUCAACCAUUAACGGCGAUUCUGGUUUCAUUUGUUUGGCGAUCCACAACUUCAACAGGCACUUAUGUACCAAAACAAAAAUGGAGGAAUCAGAAUAAUAAUUGUAUUUCAGUCGUUUCAAACUGCUAGAGGAACUAUUCGGAAUGUAAAAAACGUGCACGUCUUCUUGACCUGCAAACCUCUAACAUUUUUUUUUUGUACCUUUUGCUGCUGUAUUCAAAGAAAUGGAAAUGUGCUCAAACUUCAGUGAGCAUUCUGGGUCAUCUAUAUGCAAACACUGAGGCUUUUCAUCUGCAGAGAGCAGCUGUUUCUGAAUGUUGGUGCAGUCCAGCUGCAAAGCACAGCGUCCUAUCAGAACUGGUGUUAUCUCAUAGAAAAAUUCAAACACAUUGGACACGUUUGCAGACCAAGACGGGCAUUUUGCAUUCGCUGAAACAUUCAGAAGAGAUACAUUUUUGUUUUUGAGUGCAUUUUUUUGUUACAAGAAUUUCAAUUGCUGUUAUUUGUUUCCAGAUUUCUGUUUUUUUAAUGACCCAAUGUAUUUGACCAUACUUCCUGUAAUUCAGCUGUUUUUGAUUUAAACAAGUCAUGUUUGA